AUUGAACGCUGGCGGCAGGCCUAAGACAUGCAAGUCGAGCGAGAAAGUACUUCGGUACGAGUACAGCGGCGGACGGGUGAGUAACGCGUAGGAAUCUACCUAGUAGUGGGGGACAACUCGUGGAAACGCGAGCUAAUACCGCACACGCCCUACGGGGGAAAGCGGGGGAUCUUCGGACCUCGUGCUAUUAGAUGAGCCUGCGUAAGAUUAGCUAGUUGGUGGGGUAAAGGCCUACCAAGGCGACGAUCUUUAGCUGGUCUGAGAGGAUGAUCAGCCACACCGGGACUGAGACACGGCCCGGACUCCUACGGGAGGCAGCAGUCGGGAAUAUUGCGCAAUGGGCGAAAGCCUGACGCAGCCAUGCCGCGUGUGUGAAGAAGGCCCUAGGGUUGUAAAGCACUUUCAAUUGGGAGGAAAGGCUAAUGGUUAAUAGCCAUUAGCCCUGACGUUACCUUUAGAAGAAGCACCGGCUAACUCCGUGCCAGCAGCCGCGGUAAUACGGAGGGUGCAAGCGUUAAUCGGAAUUACUUGGGCGUAAAGCGCGCGUAGGCGGCUCUUUAAGUCGGAUGUGAAAGCCCCGGGCUCAACCUGGGAACUGCAUCCGAUACUGGGGAGCUAGAGUGUAGGAGAGGGAGGUAGAAUUCCAUGUGUAGCAGUGAAAUGCGUAGAUAUAUGGAGGAAUACCAGUGGCGAAGGCGGCCUCCUGGCUUAACACUGACGCUGAGGUGCGAAAGCGUGGGGAGCAAACGGGAUUAGAUACCCCGGUAGUCCACGCCGUAAACGAUGUCUACUAGCUGUAGGGGUACUUGAGACCUUUGUAGCCCAGCUAACGCACUAA
Molecule: ribosomal RNA, 838 nt
Filed under: uncultured Gammaproteobacteria bacterium
Lineage: Bacteria; Pseudomonadati; Pseudomonadota; Gammaproteobacteria
Description: bacterial SSU rRNA
Rfam family: Bacterial small subunit ribosomal RNA
Source: RNAcentral